This is a small nucleolar RNA of Lynx canadensis (Canada lynx), 92 nucleotides long. Its record names the gene U3. It matches the Rfam family "Small nucleolar RNA U3". From Rfam's summary of the family: Small nucleolar RNAs (snoRNAs) are involved in the processing and modification of rRNA in the nucleolus. Lineage: Eukaryota; Metazoa; Chordata; Mammalia; Carnivora; Felidae. The record is from Ensembl.
AAGACUAUACUUUCGGGAAUCAUUUCUAUAGUUUGUUACUAGAUUUGAAAAAGAGCAAGGGCUGAAACAACUAUUUUAUUUAUGUACAUAGA